This 430-nucleotide ribosomal RNA is filed under the name uncultured Acidobacteriota bacterium. RNAcentral's name for it is "bacterial SSU rRNA". It matches the Rfam family "Bacterial small subunit ribosomal RNA", at positions 355 to 776 of the family's 1533-position model. The record is from RNAcentral. Lineage: Bacteria; Pseudomonadati; Acidobacteriota.
UGAGGAAUAUUGCGCAAUGGGCGAAAGCCUGACGCAGCGACGCCGCGUGGAGGAUGAAGGUCUUCGGAUUGUAAACUCCUGUCUAGUGGGACGAAAGCCGUGGGGGCAAACAACCCUCGCGGUUGACGGUACCGCUGGAGGAAGCCCCGGCUAACUCCGUGCCAGCAGCCGCGGUAAUACGGAGGGGGCCAGCGUUGUUCGGAAUCAUUGGGCGUAAAGGGCGCGUAGGCGGCUACUCAAGUCGGACGUGAAAUCCCCCGGCUCAACCGGGGAACUGCGUCCGAUACUGUGUGGCUCGAGUCCCGGAGAGGGUAGUGGAAUUCCCAGUGUAGCGGUGAAAUGCGUAGAUACUGGGAGGAACACCGGUGGCGAAGGCGGCUACCUGGACGGGUACUGACGCUGAGGCGCGAAAGCCAGGGGAGCAAACAGG